AUUGAACGCUGGCGGCAGGCUUAACACAUGCAAGUCGAGCGGGGGAAGGUAGCUUGCUACUGGACCUAGCGGCGGACGGGUGAGUAAUGCUUAGGAAUCUGCCUAUUAGUGGGGGACAACAUCUCGAAAGGGAUGCUAAUACCGCAUACGUCCUACGGGAGAAAGCAGGGGAUCUUCGGACCUUGCGCUAAUAGAUGAGCCUAGGUCGGAUUAGCUAGUUGGGGGGGUAAAGGCCUACCAAGGCGACGAUCUGUAGCGGGUCUGAGAGGAUGAUCCGCCACACUGGGGCUGAGACACGGCCCAGACUCCUACGGGAGGCAGCAGUGGGGAAUAUUGGACAAUGGGGGGAACCCUGAUCCAGCCAUGCCGCGUGUGUGAAGAAGGCCUUAUGGUUGUAAAGCACUUUAAGCGAGGAGGAGGCUACUCUAGUUAAUACCUAGGGAUAGUGGACGUUACUCGCAGAAUAAGCACCGGCUAACUCUGUGCCAGCCGCCGCUGUAA
Molecule: ribosomal RNA, 501 nt
Filed under: uncultured bacterium
Lineage: Bacteria
Description: partial 16S ribosomal RNA
Rfam family: Bacterial small subunit ribosomal RNA
Source: RNAcentral